This 383-nucleotide ribosomal RNA is filed under the name uncultured bacterium. Its description in RNAcentral is "bacterial SSU rRNA". It matches the Rfam family "Bacterial small subunit ribosomal RNA", at positions 30 to 414 of the family's 1533-position model. The record is from RNAcentral.
AUUGAACGCUGGCGGCAUGCCUUACACAUGCAAGUCGAACGGCAGCGGACCUUCGGGUGCCGGCGAGUGGCGAACGGGUGAGUAAUAUAUCGGAACGUACCUUUCAGUGGGGGAUAACGUAGCGAAAGUUACGCUAAUACCGCAUAUUCUGUGAGCAGGAAAGCAGGGGAUCGCAAGACCUUGCGCUGAUUGAGCGGCCGAUAUCAGAUUAGCUAGUUGGUGAGGUAAAGGCUCACCAAGGCGACGAUCUGUAGCGGGUCUGAGAGGACUGAUCCGCCACACUGGAACUGAGACACGGUCCAGACUCCUACGGGAGGCAGCAGUGGGGAAUUUUGGACAAUGGGCGCAAGCCUGAUCCAGCCAUGCCGCGUGAGUGAAGAAGG